Molecule: ribosomal RNA, 675 nt
Filed under: Triticum aestivum (bread wheat)
Lineage: Eukaryota; Viridiplantae; Streptophyta; Magnoliopsida; Poales; Poaceae
Description: partial small subunit ribosomal RNA
Source: RNAcentral
AGAAGAAACUCCACGAGCACCGCACGUCCGAGCGAGGACUCGAACUCGGGUGGGCUGGCAGCAACCUUAGCUGCCCAGCCAACGGGUCGACGCCCCGUCCUCGCCGCCAAGAAGGAUAACAACACAGAGAUGGAGAAGGGGAAGGAGGAGAGCAAAGCGAGACAACCAAACGCUGGCAACGGCCUUGACCUGGACAAGUACUCGUGGUCGCAGCAGCUACCGGAGGUGAACCUCUCCAUCCCCGUCCCCGAAGGAACCAAGGCGAGGUUCGUCCUAUGCGAGAUCAAGAAGGACCAUCUCAAGGUCGGGCUCAAGGGCCAGCCUCUCAUCAUCGACGGCGACCUCCACAAACCGGUCAAGGUCGAGGACUGCUUCUGGAGCAUCGAGGACGGGAGGUCGCUGUCCAUAGUCCAUACUGCUCAUGAAAGCGAGUGGUGGAAAUCCCUGAUCAAGGGCGAUCCGGAGAUCGACACCCAGCGUGCCAUACCAGAGAGCAGCAGGCUCUCGGAUCUGGACCCAGAGACGAGGCAGACCGUGGAGAAGAUGAUGUUCGACCAGCGCCAGAAGCAGAUGGGCCUGCCCACCAGCGAGGAGAUGCAGAACCAGGACAUGCUCAAGAAACUCAAGUCCUAGUACCCGGACAUGGACUUCUCCGGGAUGAAGAUGCCUUGUUGA